Molecule: ribosomal RNA, 253 nt
Filed under: uncultured bacterium
Lineage: Bacteria
Description: partial 16S ribosomal RNA
Rfam family: Bacterial small subunit ribosomal RNA
Source: RNAcentral
UACAGAGGGUGCAAGCGUUGCUCGGAUUUACUGGGCGUAAAGCGUACGCAGACGGUAAGGAAGGUCGGAUGUGAAAGCCCCGGGCUCAACCCUGGAACUGCAUCCGAAACCCCCUUGCUAGAGUAUGGGAGAGGGAAGCGGAAUUCCUGGUGUAGAGGUGAAAUUCGUAGAUAUCAGGAGGAACACCGGCGGCGAAGGCGGCUUCCUGGCCCAUUACUGACGUUCAGGUACGAAAGCGUGGGUAGCAAACAGG